Molecule: long non-coding RNA, 148 nt
Organism: Choloepus didactylus (southern two-toed sloth)
Lineage: Eukaryota; Metazoa; Chordata; Mammalia; Pilosa; Megalonychidae
Exons: 3
Source: RefSeq, a predicted model, not a curated record
GGAGCUAUGAGGAGCAGAGAAGCUCUAAGCAGUGGAAGCCUUGGAUGAGCAGAGGAAUGGAGAAGACUACUGCAGCCUUACUGACAUCUCACAGUAAGUCUAAAUCAUCAGUUUAUGGAUCAGAGAAUGAUUUGGUAAAAACCGACAG